UACGGAGGUGGCAAGCGUUGUUCGGAAUUACUGGGCGUAAAGGGCGCGUAGGCGGCCAUCUAAGUCAGACGUGAAAUCCCCCGGCUUAACCUGGGAACUGCGUCUGAUACUGGAAGGCUUGAGUAUGGGAGAGGGAUGUAGAAUUCCAGGUGUAGCGGUGAAAUGCGUAGAUAUCUGGAGGAACACCGGUGGCGAAGGCGGCAUCCUGGACCGGUAUUGACGCUGAGGAGCGAAAGCCAGGGGAGCAAACGGG
This 253-nucleotide ribosomal RNA is filed under the name uncultured bacterium. Its description in RNAcentral is "partial 16S ribosomal RNA". It matches the Rfam family "Bacterial small subunit ribosomal RNA", at positions 524 to 776 of the family's 1533-position model. The record is from RNAcentral.